GAUGAACGCUAGCGGCAGGCUUAACACAUGCGAGUCGAGGGGCAGCGCGGGAUAGCAAUAUCCUGGCGGCGACCGGCGGAAGGGUGCGUAACGCGUGAGCGACAUGCCCGUUGCCCGGGGACAACCGGUGGAAACGCCGACUAAUCCCCGAUGGGAUAUUGUGCCGCAUGGCACGAUAUUGAAAGUUACGGCGGCGACGGAUUGGCUCGCGUCCGAUUAGCUGGUUGGCGGGGUAACGGCCCACCAAGGCUGCGAUCGGUAGGGGUUCUGAGAGGAAGGCCCCCCACAAUGGGACUGAGACACGGCCCAUACUCCUACGGGAGGCAGCAGUGAGGAAUAUUGGUCAAUGGGCGGAGGCCUGAACCAGCCAUGCCGCGUGCGGGAAGGAGGCCCUAUGGGCUGUGAACCGCUUUUGCCUGGGGGCAAUAAGGGCGUCGCGCACGUCCGAUGAGAGUACCAGGCGAAUAAGCAUCGGCUAACUCCGUG
RNAcentral lists this ribosomal RNA (486 nucleotides) under uncultured bacterium. Its description in RNAcentral is "partial 16S ribosomal RNA". It matches the Rfam family "Bacterial small subunit ribosomal RNA", at positions 28 to 507 of the family's 1533-position model. The record is from RNAcentral.